RNAcentral lists this ribosomal RNA (588 nucleotides) under uncultured Gammaproteobacteria bacterium. RNAcentral's name for it is "bacterial SSU rRNA". It matches the Rfam family "Bacterial small subunit ribosomal RNA", at positions 60 to 639 of the family's 1533-position model. The record is from RNAcentral. Lineage: Bacteria; Pseudomonadati; Pseudomonadota; Gammaproteobacteria.
AGUCGAACGGCAGCAUAGAGAGCUUGCUAGAAGAUGACGAGCGGCGGACGGGUGAGUAACGCGUAGGAAUCUACCUAUUGGUGGGGGAUAGCCCAGGGAAACUUGGAUUAAUACCGCAUAAGCUCUUAGGAGGAAAGCGGGGGAUCUUCGGACCUCGUGCCAAUAGAUGAGCCUGCGUAAGACUAGCUAGAUGGUGGGGUAAUGGCCUACCAUGGCGACGAUCUUUAGCUGGUCUGAGAGGAUGAUCAGCCACACUGGGACUGAGACACGGCCCAGACUCCUACGGGAGGCAGCAGUGGGGAAUAUUGCACAAUGGGCGCAAGCCUGAUGCAGCCAUGCCGCGUGUGUGAAGAAGGCCUUAGGGUUGUAAAGCACUUUCAGUGGGGAAGAAAGGUUAUAAGUUAAUACCUUAUAGCUGUGACGUUACCCACAGAAGAAGGACCGGCUAAUUCCGUGCCAGCAGCCGCGGUAAUACGGAAGGUCCGAGCGUUAAUCGGAAUUACUGGGCGUAAAGCGCACGUAGGCGGCUAGGUCAGUUGGGUGUGAAAGCCCCGGGCUCAACCUGGGAACUGCAUCCAAUACUGCCUG